This 403-nucleotide ribosomal RNA is filed under the name bacterium. RNAcentral's name for it is "partial 16S ribosomal RNA". It matches the Rfam family "Bacterial small subunit ribosomal RNA", at positions 355 to 776 of the family's 1533-position model. RNAcentral also lists the same sequence under 1 other name. The record is from RNAcentral.
UGGGGAAUAUUGCACAAUGGAGGGAACUCUGAUGCAGCGACGCCGCGUGAACGAAGAAGGCUUUCGAGUCGUAAAGUUCUUUUAUAUGGGAAGAUAAUGACGGUACCAUAAGAAAAAGCCCCGGCUAACUACGUGCCAGCAGCCGCGGUAAUACGCAGGGGGCUAGCGUUGUCCGGAAUCACUGGGCGUAAAGGGUUCGCAGGCGGAAAUGCAAGUCAGGUGUAAAAGGCAGUAGCUUAACUACUGUAAGCAUUUGAAACUGCAUAUCUUGAGAAGAGUAGAGGUAAGUGGAAUUUUUAGUGUAGCGGUGAAAUGCGUAGAUAUUAAAAAGAAUACCGGUGGCGAAGGCGACUUACUGGGCUCAUUCUGACGCUGAGGAACGAAAGCGUGGGUAGCAAACAGG